This 2509-nucleotide long non-coding RNA is filed under the name Malus domestica (apple). RNAcentral describes it as "long non-coding RNA (MDOM_LNC003991)". The record is from RNAcentral. Lineage: Eukaryota; Viridiplantae; Streptophyta; Magnoliopsida; Rosales; Rosaceae.
AAGUCCUCGACUUUAGUCUAUAGCCGACAUUCGAGAAGAAAUGUUAUUACACUAUUACAACUUGGACCGUCGACUGCCACGCAAAAUCAAAUAAGUCGUUUUCACGUAGAAAAAUACAAUAAGUUAAGUUGAUUGCUUGUCACGGUACACAAGUGGUUCAUCUCCUAUAGUGAUUGGUUUGUCCAAUCCAAACAUAUCCGCGAUUUUCAUACAAACAGUUUUUAAUAGGGCACAAAGAAGGAUGGAAUAUUCUACCACUAGACUUGGAAUUCUGGGAAUGCAUGGACAAUAUCUUCUCGUUAAGUUUAGAGUGCAAUACAUUAGAGAUUAGUCUUUUAUUCAGUGUGAUUUAGCAAUUUUGGUUGGAGUCCAACAGUCACAUGUACUUUCACUUUCUCUAAAUAAAAACUAAUCACGUGUUAGACUAAGAAGAAAUGUCACAUGGCAUGCAAAAAAAUGUAAAGUCCCAGUGUGAAUUUCACAAGUAAAAUACAAUGUAACUUAACAAGUUCCACUUUUUUCCCUGAUACAAUUGAUGAGGAGGCUGAAAUCAAACUUGAAACCUCGUGUGCGCAACGAUGAAUGUUUUUAAUCAAAUGAACUCCAAAUUACUUUUACGUACAUCUUGAUAGGAUUAAAAGCACACCACAAAGUAGCACACAAAUGUCUUAUUGAGUUUCCCUAUUAACAUUAAGAUUUUUCAAUUGUAGCAUAUGAAAAUAAGGGUCUUUCCCGUAGAAGAUUGUUUUAUCUAAUUACUUAAAAUGUCACAAAAACUGGGCUGCUGUCCCUACUGACCAGCCACCGAAAAAUAAUUAUUAGACUGACUUACACUUAUCUAAAGUCUAUGAAAUUUUAUAUGAACACACUAGACACACAGAGCUACACUCACACAAAGUUUUGGGAUUUUUGAAGUUGAUUUUCUAUUUAAAUUAAAUCGAACAAAAACAGGACAUAAACGAAUUUUAAAUAAUAAAAAUAGAUUGUAGUUCACAAGUUAAGAAAACGAGUUAGGGGAAAUGCUAUCCACCACCAAAUAAUCAUACAAACAUGUAAUGUUUCAUUCAAAUUCCCUUUAUUUCCAGAUGAAGAUGCUUAAGUUGGCUCAAUGUUAGAACUCAACCUAUUACUCCUUCUUAUGUAGUAUGUUAAGAGAAUGGUGUUUUCAACUUAACUUAGUCUCUAGCAUGCAAUCUAGAAUGGUGUGUUCAUAGAUUUAACAAGUAGAAAUCAUUAAGAAUGAAAAGAGUUUGAGUCAUCACAAGACAUUGUAAGUACUGGUGUUGUCUUACUUAUUCUAGAAAUUGGUUCACAUGUUAAUCGCAAUUAACAAGUACUACUCUAGAACAUAUGUAGGUCCUCAUUCGACAAGGGCAGGCACACACAUAUUCAUAGCAUUAGAAUCCUAGAUAUGCUUACUAAGUAUGCAUCCGUAGAAAACACUUAAAGAAUUCAUCAAUGAGACAAGUGGUGAACCAAUUUUCAUCUAUUCAUAAAAUUAAUUCAAACGAAAUGUCAUAACAAACUUGCAAUCAUAUUCGGGGCUUCAAAACAGCCCCUAACUACUAAAAAUUUAGUUACGCAUUAUUAUCAAAUAAAACCAAAAGAAAGACAUGAGUUUGAGAAGAUAAAACCGAGAGAAGAGAAUGCCAAGAUUUCCUCCUUCCUUUCCUUACUUCCCCAACGCUGUUGCCUUGUCCUCUUUCCUUCCUUUCCGCAAAGCUGCCUUGUUUUUUUCUUUCUUUUCUAUUUUUUUUCCUUCUCUUCUUAUUUUCCGUUGCAACCUGCAACCAUUCACCCCCCUUUAACUUGCUGCCCCACUAACAACCAUUUAGUGAUGGCAAUAAGUGAGAGGAAAUGGUAAAACAAUUGUAACUCUUUUGGGUAGCCUUUAUCCCAAUUACUCCCACUUAAUCCUCAUCUUUAUUUCUAUUUCCUCUGAUAUUUGAAUAGGUGUUAGCUGACUUAUUCUUGGCUGCCUCAGUUUUGGCUGCUAGAUUUAUUGGAUUUAUUGCUUUCUUGUCAGUUACAAACUGUUCAGCCUCUUGGGAACCUUUCAGUGUUAUAAUGACCAUAACUUCUUCUAGAAAAAUGAUAUUAACAAUCUGUGAAAUGCUCCAGAAAAUAGACAUCUUUAGCUUUCCAAGAAUAUAAGGCUCAUUCUCUAAUUCAUUCUGAACUGUUCGCAACUUGCUUCCAAAGUCAGCUGAUCUGCACAGGCAGUUUUGACGAAUUUGUUACUUCAAAUCCCACUUGUGCUAUUUUUCUUUUCUUUGCUUGACAAAUCCCACAAAACACAAAAACGAAGUAAAUAGCUCAAAAAUAUAAGGAACUAAUUAAGAAAAGAUAAGUAAAUUUGAUGUAAAAUAUAUAUAAAUCUGAGCUUAUCAAAUACCCCCACACUUAGCUUUUGCUAGUCUUUGAGCAAAACAAAGAAACAUGAAAAAGUAGCAACAUGACAAACAUUAGCUUCCCCUUAUGUAACCCUCAUAGAAUUUCAUUCAAGAAA